AAGAGACCUCAUGUGGACGAAGGCCAGGCCAAGUAGCAUCAGCACGUAUAUCCUCAAUGAUAAUCGAUUUGGAUGAAAGGGUUGCCAGUAAAAGACGUAUUCUCAAGUUUUGGCUACCCUUCAGCUUCAUGUAAGAUACUUUACCCAUCUUGUUACUUGUCUUUCGCCUCUGCUUCUACGUAUAAAUUUGUAUAAUAUAUGCUCUUUGAUUCUGUCAGAUGAACCAAAAAAUGGGAAGUUAGCUGCAGGAAGAGAUGGGAAAAGAGCAAUUUAGCAGCGGGAGUGGUGGCAAG
RNAcentral lists this unclassified non-coding RNA (293 nucleotides) under Hevea brasiliensis (rubber tree). The record is from RNAcentral. Lineage: Eukaryota; Viridiplantae; Streptophyta; Magnoliopsida; Malpighiales; Euphorbiaceae.